Long non-coding RNA from Amblyraja radiata (thorny skate), 147 nucleotides. RefSeq lists it as uncharacterized. The record is from RefSeq and is a predicted model, not a curated record. The transcript has 3 exons. NCBI's taxonomy places the organism in Eukaryota, Metazoa, Chordata, Chondrichthyes, Rajiformes, Rajidae.
UCCAUUGUUCCAGGGAAAACCAUCCAAGUCUAUCCACCCUCUCCCUGUGGCUGAAACCUAAUUCAGGCAGCUUUCUGGUAAACCUCCUCUGCACCCUUUCCAAAGCUUUCACAUCUUUCCUGAAAUGGGGUGACCAGAACUGCAUGC